RNAcentral lists this ribosomal RNA (250 nucleotides) under uncultured prokaryote. Its description in RNAcentral is "partial 16S ribosomal RNA". It matches the Rfam family "Bacterial small subunit ribosomal RNA", at positions 524 to 773 of the family's 1533-position model. The record is from RNAcentral.
UACGUAGGUGGCAAGCGUUGUCCGGAAUUACUGGGUGUAAAGGGGGCGCAGGCGGGUGAACAAGUCAGCGGUGAAAUACAUGGGCUUAACUCAUGGGCUGCCGUUGAAACUGUACAUCUUGAGUGGAUCAGAGGCAAGCGGAAUUCCGAGUGUAGCGGUGAAAUGCGUAGAUAUUCGGAGGAACACCAGUGGCGAAGGCGGCUUGCUGGGGUCUAACUGACGCUGAGGCCCGAAAGUGUGGGGAGCAAAC